CAGAACACUUGUUGAAAAGCAUUGUCUUUACUGUCUUUUUUUCCAGAAGUACUUCUUUCAGAAUUAUCUAAUAUACUGAGCUAAUAAUAGAAUACUGCAAAAUCUUCUCUAAGUGCCUGAUACCUCAGUGGCCUAAUAAUUAACUUUCUGGGGACCGAGGCUUUGUUUUUAUCCAAGAAAAAUGUGUUCCGCCUAUCGACCAAUGAGCCCUGUUCUUGGCAGCACGUAUUUCCACAAGCAACAAUCUGCAGUGAUUAUGACAGAGCAAACUGCGAUACAAGAAAGCUAUCCAUAGAUGGCCAGAAAGAAGCUACCUGGAGCCUGGGAAUCCUGAUGUCCACUCCUCUAGUUAACCCUUUUCCUGAAUAUAGGAUUAUCCCAGCAGGAUUGAACCUCUUUUGUGAUAAGAUUCAAUUACCUGUAGUCCACCGUAAUGUUACAAUUUGAUAAAUCUCCUGGAAUUAAUCAAUUCUCUUGAAUGGAUAUCUUUGGAAGUAACUUGUAUGAGGCACGUGGAAAAACUUACACUUGCUUGAAGAAACAGAAAAUCAGAACUAUCAGAAUUGGGAGAUGCAACAGGACAGAAACAUCUGUAGGACAUCCAAGGUGCAGCUAUUGCAAUGCUCGUACAAAGGCAGAAGGGAAGAAGCAAGCAGUUUGCAUCUGGUGCAUUUGCCUGAGCACAACCUGAUCUGGGUCAUUUCUACAGACAUUAGUCAGGAGACAACAUAGUCCUGACCUAAAUGGGACUUCGCACGCCUGCAGAUGCCAAUGAGACCUAAAGCCCCUCUUCUCUCUCCCUGUUAAAUAUGUAAUUACUGUAUAGGACUUCUUUAUGUGUCACUGAUGCAUUUUGGAUGUAUUGGUAAAAAAGCUCAAGUCACGUAGGUGUAUUUAAAAAUAAAUAAAUACUAUCAAAUAUUGUACA
This 928-nucleotide long non-coding RNA is filed under the name Calidris pugnax (ruff). Its description in RNAcentral is "lncRNA (ENSCPUG00000019034.1)". The record is from RNAcentral. Lineage: Eukaryota; Metazoa; Chordata; Aves; Charadriiformes; Scolopacidae.